GGCUCUUUGACAUACACAUAUACAGAGUCUAACCUGCCCGGUGAUUUUUUUUAACGGCCGCAGUAUAUUAACUGUGCUAAGGUAGCAUAAUAAUUUGUUCUAUAAUUGAGGACUGGAAUGAAUGGUUUCACAAGAGCAAAGCUGUCUCUUUUACACUUAAUAGAAUUUUACUUUCAGAUGAAGAGGUUUGAAUAAAAUUAAAAGACAAGAAGACCCUAUCGAGCUUAAAAAAAAUUAAUAGAUCAAAAUAAUAUUAAUUAAAAAAUAACUAUUAAAGAUUUUGGUUGGGGCGACUAAGGAACCAAAAAAGCUUCCUUAAAAAUAAAACUACUUACACGUAUUGAUCCAAAAAUUUUGAUUAAUGGAAAUAGUUACCGUAGGGAUAACAGCAUUAUCUUCUUUGAGAGCCCAAAUCGAAAAGAAGGUUUGUGACCUCGAUGUUGGACCAGAAUAUCCUAAAGGUGCAGAAGUCUUUAAGGGUUGGUCUGUUCGACCAUUAAAAUUCU
This 506-nucleotide ribosomal RNA is filed under the name Crucibulum lignarium. Its description in RNAcentral is "partial 16S ribosomal RNA". It matches the Rfam family "Bacterial large subunit ribosomal RNA", at positions 1817 to 2597 of the family's 2925-position model. Lineage: Eukaryota; Metazoa; Mollusca; Gastropoda; Littorinimorpha; Calyptraeidae. The record is from RNAcentral.